This 76-nucleotide transfer RNA is filed under the name Sphaerodactylus townsendi. RNAcentral describes it as "tRNA-Ala". Lineage: Eukaryota; Metazoa; Chordata; Lepidosauria; Squamata; Sphaerodactylidae. The record is from RNAcentral.
AGAGGGCCUGCGGUUCAGUGGUAGAGCAUCUGCUUGGCACACAGAAGGUCCCAGGUUCCAAUCCCCAGCAUCUCUA